RNAcentral lists this ribosomal RNA (736 nucleotides) under Calostoma sp. Its description in RNAcentral is "partial large subunit ribosomal RNA". It matches the Rfam family "Eukaryotic large subunit ribosomal RNA", at positions 131 to 870 of the family's 3401-position model. The record is from RNAcentral. Lineage: Eukaryota; Fungi; Basidiomycota; Agaricomycetes; Boletales; Calostomataceae.
GGCCCGUCCGAGUUGUAAUCUAGAGAAGCGUCUUCCGCGCUGGACCGUGUACAAGUCUCCUCGAAGGGAGCAUCGCAGAGGGUGUCAAUCCCGUCUCUGACACGGACUACCAGGGCUAUGUGAUGCGCUCUCGACGAGUCGAGUUGUUUGGGAAUGCAGCUCAAAUAGGGUGGUAAACUCCAUCUAAAGCUAAAUACUGGCGAGAGACCGAUAGCGAACAAGUACCGUGAGGGAAAGAUGAAAAGAACUUUGGAAAGAGAGUUAAACAGUACGUGAAAUUGCUGGAAGGGAAACGCUUGAAGGCAGUCGCAUCUGUCAGGGAUCAACCCUUGCUAUUCUUUGGCUGGGGCGUAUUUCCUGGUUGGAUGGGUCAGCAUCGAUUUCGGCCGUCGGAGAAGGUUGGGAGGAAAGUGGCACUCCACGGAGUGUGUUAUAGCCUCUCGUACUGGCGCGACGACGGGGAUCGAGGAACUUGGUCGCAUGACCUAGGAUGUUGGCAUAAUGUCUUCAAGCGACCCGUCUUGAAACACGGACCAAGGAGUCUAACAUGCCUGCGAGUGUUUGGGUGGCAAACCCGAGUGCGAAAUGAAAGUGAAAGUCGAGACCUCUGUCGUGGAGGGCACCGACGCCCGGCCCAGCACCUUUGGUUAUGGAUCUGCGGUAUAGCAUGCAUGUUGGGACCCGAAAGAUGGUGAACUAUGCCUGAAUAGGGUGAAGCCAGAGGAAACUCUGGUGG